This 328-nucleotide unclassified non-coding RNA is filed under the name soil metagenome. RNAcentral's name for it is "partial contains 5.8S ribosomal RNA, internal transcribed spacer 2, and large subunit ribosomal RNA". The stretch from base 1 to 120 matches the Rfam family "5.8S ribosomal RNA", at positions 35 to 154 of the family's 154-position model. The record is from RNAcentral.
GAUGAAGAACGUAGCGAAAUGCGAUAAGUAAUGUGAAUUGCAGAAUUUAGUGAAUCAUCGAAUCUUUGAACGCACAUUGCGCCCCUUGGUAUCCCGAGGGGCAUGCCUGUUCGAGCGUCAUUUCACCACUCAAGCCUGGCUUGGUGUUGGGCGACGUCCCCUUUGGGGACGCGCCUCGAAACGCUCGGCGGCGUGGCACCGGCUUUAAGCGUAGCAGAAUCUUUCGCUUUGGAAGUCGGGGCCCCGUCUGCCGGAAGACCUACUCGCAAGGUUGACCUCGGAUCAGGCAGGGAUACCCGCUGAACUUAAGCAUAUCAUAAGCGGAGGA